GAUGAAGAACGUAGCGAAAUGCGAUAAGUAAUGUGAAUUGCAGAAUUCAGUGAAUCAUCGAAUCUUUGAACGCACAUUGCGCCCGCGAGUAUCCUCGCGGGCAUGCCUGUCCGAGCGUCAUUUCAACCCUCAGGGCCCGCCUGCUUGCAGGCGCGGCGCUGGUGUUGGGGAUCGGCUACCCUGCCGUCCCCCAAAUACAGUGGCGGUCUCGCUGCAGCCUCCCCUGCGUAGUAGCAACACUCGCAUGCGGAGCGCGGCGCGGCCACGCCGUAAAACCCCCGACUUUCUGAACGUUGACCUCGGAUCAGGUAGGAAUACCCGCUGAACUUAAGCAUAUCAAUAAGCGGAGGA
This 351-nucleotide unclassified non-coding RNA is filed under the name soil metagenome. RNAcentral describes it as "partial contains 5.8S ribosomal RNA, internal transcribed spacer 2, and large subunit ribosomal RNA". The stretch from base 1 to 120 matches the Rfam family "5.8S ribosomal RNA", at positions 35 to 154 of the family's 154-position model. The record is from RNAcentral.